Non-coding RNA from Mycena galericulata, 98 nucleotides. NCBI's taxonomy places the organism in Eukaryota, Fungi, Basidiomycota, Agaricomycetes, Agaricales, Mycenaceae. The record is from the annotation of a GenBank genome assembly.
GGCCCAGUGGUGUACUGCUAACACAUCCUCUCCAAUUGUGGCGGGCAUUCGAAACUGAAUAUAUGAGGAAGCACCCCGUUCGACUCGGGGCUGGGCCA